This 468-nucleotide ribosomal RNA is filed under the name uncultured bacterium. RNAcentral's name for it is "partial 16S ribosomal RNA". It matches the Rfam family "Bacterial small subunit ribosomal RNA", at positions 28 to 507 of the family's 1533-position model. The record is from RNAcentral.
GACGAACGCUGGCGGCGUGCUUAACACAUGCAAGUCGAACGGAAAGGCCCUGCUUUUGUGGGGUGCUCGAGUGGCGAACGGGUGAGUAACAAGUGAGUAACCUGCCCUUGACUUUGGGAUAACUUCAGGAAACUGGGGCUCAUACCGGAUAGGAGCUCCUGCUGCAUGGUGGGGGUUGGACAGUUUCGGCGGUUGGGGAUGGACUCGCGGCUUAUCAGCUUGUUGGUGGGGUAGUGGCUUACCAAGGCUUUGACGGGUAGCCGGCCUGAGAGGGUGACCGGCCACAUUGGGACUGAGAUACGGCCCAGACUCCUACGGGAGGCAGCAGUGGGGAAUAUUGCACAAUGGGCGGAAGCCUGAUGCAGCAACGCCGCGUGCGGGAUGACGGCCUUCGGGUUGUAAACCGCUUUCGCCUGUGACGAAGCGUGAGUGACGGUAAUGGGUAAAGAAGCACCGGCUAACUACGUG